Molecule: long non-coding RNA, 3898 nt
Organism: Nerophis ophidion (straightnose pipefish)
Lineage: Eukaryota; Metazoa; Chordata; Actinopteri; Syngnathiformes; Syngnathidae
Exons: 2
Source: RefSeq, a predicted model, not a curated record
CCGCCGACUUAAUUUCCCCCCGCAGAAGAAGCGCGCAGUGCAUGCUGGGAUAUAUGACUGCGGGAAGCUUGCCGUUUCUGUGUGUUUAUGUAAAGCGCGCGGUGCAGGCUGGGAUAUAUGACUGCGGGAGGCUUGCCGUUUCUGUUUGUUUAUGUAAAGAACCCAAAAUGGCUCCUAUUAAUAGACACGCUUACGACGCAGAGUUUAAACUCGAGGCGAUCAGUCACACAGUAGAACACGAGAAUAGAGCAGCAGUGAGAGAAUUUAACAUUAACAGCAGCGACACUGACUCGUUUAAUGACGACUUCAUUGAGACGGAGCCGGGCAUGUUGGAUGUCGUAUUCGCCCAACUGUUUAAUUCGGACACUGAAGAAGAAGAAUUUGAGGGAUUCGUGAAUGAGGAAUAACUUAAUAAACUGGACAGAGAGUAAACAAGCCUACCUGAGAACCAAGGGUUGAAGAGGACCACGAGCGUGGCCACCUGUAUUUCCUCAUCCCACAGACUUCCUGUCAAGGUGUACUUUCCGAUGGGGGUGUCCGGCGGGGGGGUGAUGAGCAGGAUCAGGGACGUCAGCGAGGAGCUAUCAUGAAGUUGGACUGUCCAAAUAGCCUUUGCUGUCAGUGAACGAUUGGGGUAGUCUGGGAUACCAAAACGUGACAAGGUGCCCUGGUCCUCUGAGGAGUACUCUCCUGGUGAGGGAACAUUCGUUUGAUUUCACAAUUAAUUCUAUCAAUGUCAUCACCCCUGAAAUCGUACAGUUGGGAGUUCAAGUAAAUAUUUUGCACAAAAACUACAGAUUCCCUUUCUCUUUGGGUUAUUUUGUGCAAUGCCGUAACAGACGCAAGGCCAAGAUGAUGAUAACCACAAAUUUCAAAGCAAUUAAAACUGCUGUUUAACGGAACACACGUUGGAGAGUUGGAGAGCUAAUGAUUACCCACCCUGGGCCCCACCAGUUUUGGCAGUGAGUAAGAGGGAAUGAAGGUCGGGGUUAAAAGGCUUCGUCACUUUCACGGUCAUCUUAAAGGACUGUCCUCUCCGCACGAUAAGCUGAUCUCCAGAGAGUUCACUGGUGUGGUGCUCCUCAUUAUUGGUCUUACUAUGGAGGUCCACCUCCUGGACGACUGUCAAAAGAAAGCAAAAAGUACUAUGAGACGCCUAACAUCUACACAUUUAAUAUACAUAUAACAUUCAAGGCAGUUCAGGGCCUUGGGUUGCAAACUAGCCAACUGUCUACAAACCUUACAUCAUACUGUAUGUACUGUACACAUAUCAUUAUGGCAUUGGCCUUAAUUAAUUUAAGCAAUUGCUUGGAUUUUAUUGAUGUCACAUCUGACUCACAUCUCAUCCAUUAAAUAUGUGUGGUGGUCAAGCUAGCUCUGUUCUCAAUUGGUACUAGGAACCAUUUAGCCUUUUUCCCGAGAAAAAAAAAAAAAAAAAAAAAGAAGCCCUAUGCCUUUGUUAUUUUCGGCUGUACGAAUUAUUAAAAACAUGAAAAUGAUAAACAUUUUUUCAGACUUCCUCAAGAGGUAAUCAAAAAGGCCAGAAGAGUGCAAGAUUUUACAAAACAAAGACAAGAAAAGCAUGCAGCUCGGACUUCAGUUAAUAGAGAGCAGAGCCAAAGAAUGCAUGAGUUUGCAGUGCUCUCUAGUGUGGAGUGAAUUAUAUUUAUAUAGCGCUUUUCUCUAGUGACUUAAAGCGCUUUUACAUAGUGAAACCCAAUAUCUAAGUUACUGUACAUUUAAACCAGUGUGGGUGACACAGAGCAGGUGGGAAAAGUGUCUUGCCCAAAGACACAACAGCAGUGACUAGCAACCUGCAACCCUCAAGUUGCUGGCACGGCCACUCUACCAACCAAGCUAUACCGCUCCAUUUCAAUAAAGGCUUGUUUGAUAUACUUUAAACAGUUAUUUUCCAUGUAAGUAUUAUCUUGAUAUUUUUUUGUAUUUCUUAUACACAUGUUUGCCACGAGUGUUUCGAAAAGCACCAACUCAGCGUGUCUAAAUAAAAGAAAGCAGCGGUUAGCCAAAACCUAAAAGAGUUAAGCUUUUACCAAAGGCAACAAUCAUAAAUAGCACAUACACAAUGAUGACAUUUAUAGUUUUAUUUUGAUAAAGACAGGGGGAAACACGCUACUUGUAAACGGCGCAUGCGACAACAGAAGCAAAAACGAUGAAUAUUUAUCCGGGAGAGUCUUGAUACUGAUUUUCUUGACACAGCCACAAACAGAUUUUCCAAGUUUCUAUCUGUUUUGUCACGUAGAACGGCGCGAGGAUUACAAUAGUUCAUGUAAGCCUCUUUUGUACUCGGAUAGUUUGCGUGUUGCUUGCUGUACAACAGCCAUCUUGGUUUGGUUGACCACCACGGGUUUUAACUUCCGUGUAAAAGUCACGUGUCGGAAUACAAUAAUGUUCGCUGCAUUGUCCCUGACAAAUAAAACAUGUAUUUUAGUUCAGUUAAUUUUUUUUCUCCAUUCAUAAAAAUCAAAAAAGAAUAAAAACAUUUAAAUAAAACAACCAACCAAUUUUCCCUCCAAUUUUUCAUAAAAGUGAGCAAACGCCAAAACUCCUUGAGCAUUCAGUGGCGCACAUGUGAGCGACGGCAGACGUGCACACUGUUAUGCGCUUAUUUUUUUAUUCGAUUUUGUGUGCGGCCUUAAUUUGCUGUGCGCAGAGGACACGUGAGCAGUGUGCAAUUGCACAGGCGUGUACCUUAGACGGAACGUUGCAAGUGAAGUGAAGUGAAUUAUAUUUUAUCUAGCGCUUUUUCUCUAGUGACUCAAAGCGCUUUACAUAGUGAAAACCCAAUAUCAAAUUUUUACAUUUAAACCAGUGUGGGUGGCACUGGGAGCAGGUGGGUAAAGUGUCUUGCCCAAGGACACAACGGCAGUGACUAGGAUGGCAGAAGCGGGGAUCGAACCUGCAACCCUCAAGUUGCUGGCACGGCCGCUCUACCAACAGAGCUAUACCGCCAACAUAACUAAAGUAAAUUAUGAAUGAAUAGCAGCAGAAAAAUAUUUAAAACUUAUAUCUGCUCCCCAUUCUCAUCCAUACAGCAAUUGACAUUCAAUGUGGCGACUACAAAGCCGUUUUUUGUAUUUUACAACAGUUAUCAAUCAAUCAACCAAAUUUGACUUAUAUAGCCCUUAAUCACAAAUGUCUCAGCUCAGAUCCUACAUCAGGGCAAGACAAAAACUCAACCCAAUGGGAACAAGUGAAACCCUGGAAGGGACCACAAAUGUGCAAAAAUAUGUUAAAAAAUGCGUACUUAUGAUUUAUAUAUUUUACAAUUGUAUUAUAUAUGCAUUUAUACCCCAGCCUUAAGGUUAUGUAAUAAUUUCCCUUGGUUUGUCUGUUAGUUAGUAACAUAACUAAACAUUUUAUGAGCUUAUUUUCAUGAAACUGUUAGAAAUUGUCCAAAAUUGAACAAGGAACAACUGUGUUACAGUCUGUAUGAAGGUUUUUGGGUUUGUUUUGUUUUUCCUAUGUUUAGUGUUUCUUCUUGUGUAGCGCACUUAUUUUGCAUCUAUUUUCGGAUUUGGGUAUCCGGCAGCUUCUGAACGUUAUUCUCCUCAUUUGUCCCUGGUUGGCAAUCAGGAGCGGUUAUUUUCCAGUGUCAUACAUUAGACAGGGCUGGUUCAUUGACUAUUGUAUUUCACUAGCUAUUUGUUUGCCAAUUAUACUUUUGUCCCUGCAUUUUUCCUGUUGAAAGACUUUGCAGCUUGUACAUUGCUUGCUGUCUGUGAAUCCUGAGGUCAUACCCUUGAAACCUUGCAUGUUGUUUACAAACUGAUUAGGUUUUGGGCCUCAUCCAAAUAAUUUCUACUACCAUACUUUAUGUUUCCAUGUGUAUAUGCUAGCAACCUCGCAUUGAAUUCACUCCAUUUCUUUCACACAGCAA